Molecule: non-coding RNA, 1112 nt
Organism: Coturnix japonica (Japanese quail)
Lineage: Eukaryota; Metazoa; Chordata; Aves; Galliformes; Phasianidae
Source: RefSeq, a predicted model, not a curated record
CCUUCCAGUCCAGGACAUUCUGUUACCCUCCGUUGAGCUGAACUUAGACAUGAAUGGCACUUAGGUACAUGCUGUCCUGAAAUUACAUACUUUCCUGAAUCAGAGCCCAGGAAAAACACCUGCAGCAUGGAACAGCCCUGGAAAAGUUAAAUAGGAGCCUGUGUGCUGUGAUGUGCUGUGGUGAGCAUACACUCAAGAAAUGCACAUCAGGUAACAUGCAUCUGGUGUAGUGGUGGGAGUCUGCUCUGCUAAUAAAAUACUGAAUAUGUAAAUCCCUCCACUUCUUAUAACCAAUGCUUUAGGUUGCAUUUACUGUAAACAAAGAUGUAUUUUUGAGGGCAGUUGGUUUGAGUUUAUUGUUUAUGUAAAUCUCUCAGAAUGUGACAUAGCCAGAUAGCUUCCUAUGUUGUGCUGAUCCACAUUUUAGGCCAGCAGCCAAAGUAUUUUAUCUUUUACUUCAUUAUAGUGAUCUUCCAAUUAGCUGUGGUCUGUAAUACCCUGAUUUUGGUGGCAGUGGUUUGGGGAGGAUUGUUUGAUAGUUCUGCUCGAGAGGCAAAAUGAGGGGCCUUAUUAUAGAAAGUGCAGAGGUUGUGCAGUAGCUGAGUUCUGUUGCAAAGUUUGCCGAUAAGGGAAAACUGGCCCUUGAGCAUCCAUUCUAUUCUGUAUAUUAACACUUCUAAUCUGCACUGCUGAUAAAACUGCAAGCCAUUUGCCUUUGGAGGAAUUAGUUCUGCCUCACUUGUGUAACCAGGCGAUGGUGAUUAACCUUUAAACUGUCCAAUAUUCUCAGCAGACUCCUGCUCCAGAUUAGAAACUAUUUAGUUAUGACCAACUAAAUUAACAACAUUCCCUCCUCUGAAGAAUAAGAUUUGGAAGGUAUGCAUUUUAAGGUGGAAUGUGUCCAAUGUCCUUAUUUAUACAGAGCUUUUGCAACAUGAAAUGCAUUUGUCAUUUAAGAAGAAACGGGAAGGAGAAAGCGAGAUUGAUUUCAGGUUGAAACAAUCUACAAUUAGUUGUAUCCAGGCAGAUGUUUGCUUGAUUGUGGGUUAGGGUCCUACUUUAGAUGGCUUAAACCUGAUUCUGACUUUUCAUUCCUAAAUAAAACUUACAGA